RNAcentral lists this ribosomal RNA (465 nucleotides) under Vreelandella stevensii. RNAcentral's name for it is "partial 16S ribosomal RNA". It matches the Rfam family "Bacterial small subunit ribosomal RNA", at positions 338 to 795 of the family's 1533-position model. The record is from RNAcentral. Lineage: Bacteria; Pseudomonadati; Pseudomonadota; Gammaproteobacteria; Oceanospirillales; Halomonadaceae.
CCUACGGGGGGCUGCAGUGGGGAAUAUUGGACAAUGGGGGCAACCCUGAUCCAGCCAUGCCGCGUGUGUGAAGAAGGCCCUCGGGUUGUAAAGCACUUUCAGUGAGGAAGAACGCCUGGUGGUUAAUACCCAUCAGGAAAGACAUCACUCACAGAAGAAGCACCGGCUAACUCCGUGCCAGCAGCCGCGGUAAUACGGAGGGUGCGAGCGUUAAUCGGAAUUACUGGGCGUAAAGCACGCGUAGGUGGCUUGAUAAGCCGGUUGUGAAAGCCCCGGGCUCAACCUGGGAACGGCAUCCGGAACUGUCAAGCUAGAGUGCAGGAGAGGAAGGUAGAAUUCCCGGUGUAGCGGUGAAAUGCGUAGAGAUCGGGAGGAAUACCAGUGGCGAAGGCGGCCUUCUGGACUGACACUGACACUGAGGUGCGAAAGCGUGGGUAGCAAACAGGAUUAGAUACCCUUGUAGUC